GCAAACUUGGUCAUUUAGAGGAAGUAAAAGUCGUAACAAGGUUUCCGUAGGGUAAGUUACUGCUAUUAACUUGUUAAAUUUCUAUGUGCUAACUUAAAUUUUAGUGAACCUGCGGAAGGAUCAUUACCGAGUGUAACCCCCCGAUAAAAAGGGGGGUACCUCCCGUCCUUUGCUGGGUCCCCUUUGGGGACUUUCGACUUCUGCUUCGGCGGGGUUACCCGCCGGAACACCCUAAAAAAUCUUUUGUUAAACUGUUCAGUCCGAGGGCUUUUUUAAAUUUAUGAAAAACUUUCAACAACGGAUCUCUUGGUUCUGGCAUCGAUGAAGAACGCAGC
This 335-nucleotide unclassified non-coding RNA is filed under the name uncultured fungus. RNAcentral describes it as "partial contains small subunit ribosomal RNA, internal transcribed spacer 1, and 5.8S ribosomal RNA". The stretch from base 1 to 126 matches the Rfam family "Eukaryotic small subunit ribosomal RNA", at positions 1759 to 1831 of the family's 1831-position model. Lineage: Eukaryota; Fungi. The record is from RNAcentral.